This is a small nuclear RNA of Dermacentor andersoni, 186 nucleotides long. RefSeq annotates it as U2 spliceosomal RNA. Lineage: Eukaryota; Metazoa; Arthropoda; Arachnida; Ixodida; Ixodidae. The record is from RefSeq and is a predicted model, not a curated record.
ACAUCGCCGACGCGGGUCGAAGUGUAGUACCUGUUCUUGGCAGCUUAAUAUCUGAUACGGGUUGUAUUUGUAACUAAGGUAUUGAACUUAUUUUCGCAAGUUGGCAGAUCGAGUGCUUAAAGCCUGCUUCACCUCCGCCGCGGGUCGGCCUGGUAUUGCACCAUCUUCGGUAUCACCCCACUGGGG